GGGCCGGUCGUUCAGUCUGGUCUAGGACGUCGCUCUUACACGGCGAAAGUCGAGGGUUCGAAUCCCUUCCGGCCCA
RNAcentral lists this transfer RNA (76 nucleotides) under Nitrososphaerota archaeon. RNAcentral describes it as "Thaumarchaeota archaeon tRNA-Val". It matches the Rfam family "tRNA". Rfam says of the family: Transfer RNA (tRNA) molecules are approximately 80 nucleotides in length. Lineage: Archaea; Thermoproteati; Nitrososphaerota. The record is from RNAcentral.